This 2904-nucleotide ribosomal RNA is filed under the name Escherichia coli. RNAcentral's name for it is "23S ribosomal RNA". It matches the Rfam family "Bacterial large subunit ribosomal RNA". The record is from RNAcentral. Lineage: Bacteria; Pseudomonadati; Pseudomonadota; Gammaproteobacteria; Enterobacterales; Enterobacteriaceae. RNAcentral also lists the same sequence under 1 other name.
GGUUAAGCGACUAAGCGUACACGGUGGAUGCCCUGGCAGUCAGAGGCGAUGAAGGACGUGCUAAUCUGCGAUAAGCGUCGGUAAGGUGAUAUGAACCGUUAUAACCGGCGAUUUCCGAAUGGGGAAACCCAGUGUGAUUCGUCACACUAUCAUUAACUGAAUCCAUAGGUUAAUGAGGCGAACCGGGGGAACUGAAACAUCUAAGUACCCCGAGGAAAAGAAAUCAACCGAGAUUCCCCCAGUAGCGGCGAGCGAACGGGGAGCAGCCCAGAGCCUGAAUCAGUGUGUGUGUUAGUGGAAGCGUCUGGAAAGGCGCGCGAUACAGGGUGACAGCCCCGUACACAAAAAUGCACAUGCUGUGAGCUCGAUGAGUAGGGCGGGACACGUGGUAUCCUGUCUGAAUAUGGGGGGACCAUCCUCCAAGGCUAAAUACUCCUGACUGACCGAUAGUGAACCAGUACCGUGAGGGAAAGGCGAAAAGAACCCCGGCGAGGGGAGUGAAAAAGAACCUGAAACCGUGUACGUACAAGCAGUGGGAGCACGCUUAGGCGUGUGACUGCGUACCUUUUGUAUAAUGGGUCAGCGACUUAUAUUCUGUAGCAAGGUUAACCGAAUAGGGGAGCCGAAGGGAAACCGAGUCUUAACUGGGCGUUAAGUUGCAGGGUAUAGACCCGAAACCCGGUGAUCUAGCCAUGGGCAGGUUGAAGGUUGGGUAACACUAACUGGAGGACCGAACCGACUAAUGUUGAAAAAUUAGCGGAUGACUUGUGGCUGGGGGUGAAAGGCCAAUCAAACCGGGAGAUAGCUGGUUCUCCCCGAAAGCUAUUUAGGUAGCGCCUCGUGAAUUCAUCUCCGGGGGUAGAGCACUGUUUCGGCAAGGGGGUCAUCCCGACUUACCAACCCGAUGCAAACUGCGAAUACCGGAGAAUGUUAUCACGGGAGACACACGGCGGGUGCUAACGUCCGUCGUGAAGAGGGAAACAACCCAGACCGCCAGCUAAGGUCCCAAAGUCAUGGUUAAGUGGGAAACGAUGUGGGAAGGCCCAGACAGCCAGGAUGUUGGCUUAGAAGCAGCCAUCAUUUAAAGAAAGCGUAAUAGCUCACUGGUCGAGUCGGCCUGCGCGGAAGAUGUAACGGGGCUAAACCAUGCACCGAAGCUGCGGCAGCGACGCUGAUGCGUUGUUGGGUAGGGGAGCGUUCUGUAAGCCUGCGAAGGUGUGCUGUGAGGCAUGCUGGAGGUAUCAGAAGUGCGAAUGCUGACAUAAGUAACGAUAAAGCGGGUGAAAAGCCCGCUCGCCGGAAGACCAAGGGUUCCUGUCCAACGUUAAUCGGGGCAGGGUGAGUCGACCCCUAAGGCGAGGCCGAAAGGCGUAGUCGAUGGGAAACAGGUUAAUAUUCCUGUACUUGGUGUUACUGCGAAGGGGGGACGGAGAAGGCUAUGUUGGCCGGGCGACGGUUGUCCCGGUUUAAGCGUGUAGGCUGGUUUUCCAGGCAAAUCCGGAAAAUCAAGGCUGAGGCGUGAUGACGAGGCACUACGGUGCUGAAGCAACAAAUGCCCUGCUUCCAGGAAAAGCCUCUAAGCAUCAGGUAACAUCAAAUCGUACCCCAAACCGACACAGGUGGUCAGGUAGAGAAUACCAAGGCGCUUGAGAGAACUCGGGUGAAGGAACUAGGCAAAAUGGUGCCGUAACUUCGGGAGAAGGCACGCUGAUAUGUAGGUGAAGUCCCUCGCGGAUGGAGCUGAAAUCAGUCGAAGAUACCAGCUGGCUGCAACUGUUUAUUAAAAACACAGCACUGUGCAAACACGAAAGUGGACGUAUACGGUGUGACGCCUGCCCGGUGCCGGAAGGUUAAUUGAUGGGGUUAGCGCAAGCGAAGCUCUUGAUCGAAGCCCCGGUAAACGGCGGCCGUAACUAUAACGGUCCUAAGGUAGCGAAAUUCCUUGUCGGGUAAGUUCCGACCUGCACGAAUGGCGUAAUGAUGGCCAGGCUGUCUCCACCCGAGACUCAGUGAAAUUGAACUCGCUGUGAAGAUGCAGUGUACCCGCGGCAAGACGGAAAGACCCCGUGAACCUUUACUAUAGCUUGACACUGAACAUUGAGCCUUGAUGUGUAGGAUAGGUGGGAGGCUUUGAAGUGUGGACGCCAGUCUGCAUGGAGCCGACCUUGAAAUACCACCCUUUAAUGUUUGAUGUUCUAACGUUGACCCGUAAUCCGGGUUGCGGACAGUGUCUGGUGGGUAGUUUGACUGGGGCGGUCUCCUCCUAAAGAGUAACGGAGGAGCACGAAGGUUGGCUAAUCCUGGUCGGACAUCAGGAGGUUAGUGCAAUGGCAUAAGCCAGCUUGACUGCGAGCGUGACGGCGCGAGCAGGUGCGAAAGCAGGUCAUAGUGAUCCGGUGGUUCUGAAUGGAAGGGCCAUCGCUCAACGGAUAAAAGGUACUCCGGGGAUAACAGGCUGAUACCGCCCAAGAGUUCAUAUCGACGGCGGUGUUUGGCACCUCGAUGUCGGCUCAUCACAUCCUGGGGCUGAAGUAGGUCCCAAGGGUAUGGCUGUUCGCCAUUUAAAGUGGUACGCGAGCUGGGUUUAGAACGUCGUGAGACAGUUCGGUCCCUAUCUGCCGUGGGCGCUGGAGAACUGAGGGGGGCUGCUCCUAGUACGAGAGGACCGGAGUGGACGCAUCACUGGUGUUCGGGUUGUCAUGCCAAUGGCACUGCCCGGUAGCUAAAUGCGGAAGAGAUAAGUGCUGAAAGCAUCUAAGCACGAAACUUGCCCCGAGAUGAGUUCUCCCUGACUCCUUGAGAGUCCUGAAGGAACGUUGAAGACGACGACGUUGAUAGGCCGGGUGUGUAAGCGCAGCGAUGCGUUGAGCUAACCGGUACUAAUGAACCGUGAGGCUUAACCUU